Molecule: ribosomal RNA, 119 nt
Filed under: Arabidopsis thaliana (thale cress)
Lineage: Eukaryota; Viridiplantae; Streptophyta; Magnoliopsida; Brassicales; Brassicaceae
Source: RNAcentral
ACAUGCGAUCAUACCUGCACUAAUGCACCGGAUCCCAUCAGAACUCCGCAGUUAAGGGUGCUUGGGCGAGAGUAGUACUAGGAUGGGUGACCUCCCAGAAAGUCCUCGUGUUGCAUCCC